UAGUUUUAUUCUUGCUAGAUUACCUAUUCUUGAGGUAUUAAUAUAUGUAAGUUCUUGCGUGAUUGGGUUUAAUGUCUAGAUGAUUUUUGCUUUUUCUUUAUUCGCAUUAUCUAUUUUUAUAAAUUAAGGUUACUUAGAUUUAGUAUCCUUUCUUAGCAUUGGCCAAAUUUGUGCCAGCAGCCGCGGUUAUACAUGGGAUGCGUUUAGGUAUUUUUGGUCGGCAGUUUUAUUUUAAUUUGAGGAUUUACUUUUGCUGGUUUUGCGGUGGAAUUUUUAUCUUGGUUGUUUUCCUUUUAUUGGUUUUCAGGCUGUGAAAUCUUUGAUAUAAACUAGGAUUAGAUACCCUAUUAUUUUUGACGUUAAUUUUUUGGCCUGAGUAGUAAUAGUUAUGUUCUUGAAACUUAAAGAAUUUGGCGGUAUCCCAUUCUUUUCAGAGGAAUCUGUCCUGUUAUCGAUAAUCCGCGUUGGACCUUACUUGGUUUGUUUGUUUGUAUACCUCCGUUCUGGUGAGAAUCUUCUUAGAGUUUAAUUUUCUUUAAUUUUUAUUUUGGUUUUAUUUCAGGUCAAGGUGCAGCUUUUGACUAAGGUGGUGAUGGAUUACAUUUGUUUUUGAUAUUGGAUUAUUGGUUGUAAUUCUGGUAUUAAAUUGGAUUUGACUGUAAUUUGUUGAAGAUUGUACUAAUGAAUUUGGCUCUGGGAUAUGUACACAUCGCCCGUCGCUCUCGUUGUUUUUGAGGCGAGAUAAGUCGUAACAAAGUGGUCGUACCGGAAGGUGUGGCUGGAAUGGUUAUA
This 792-nucleotide non-coding RNA is filed under the name Porotermes planiceps. Lineage: Eukaryota; Metazoa; Arthropoda; Insecta; Blattodea; Termopsidae. The record is from RNAcentral.